This 490-nucleotide ribosomal RNA is filed under the name uncultured bacterium. RNAcentral's name for it is "partial 16S ribosomal RNA". It matches the Rfam family "Bacterial small subunit ribosomal RNA", at positions 30 to 507 of the family's 1533-position model. The record is from RNAcentral.
AUUGAACGCUGGCGGCAGGCCUAACACAUGCAAGUCGAAUGGUAACAGGAAACAGCUUGCUGUUUCGCUGACGAGUGGCGGACGGGUGAGUAAUGUCUGGGAAACUGCCUGAUGGAGGGGGAUAACUACUGGAAACGGUAGCUAAUACCGCAUAACGUCGCAAGACCAAAGAGGGGGACCUUCGGGCCUCUUGCCAUCAGAUGUGCCCAGAUGGGAUUAGCUAGUAGGUGGGGUAACGGCUCACCUAGGCGGCGAUCCCUAGCUGGUCUGAGAGGAUGACCAGCCACACUGGAACUGAGACACGGUCCAGACUCCUACGGGAGGCAGCAGUGGGGAAUAUUGCACAAUGGGCGCAAGCCUGAUGCAGCCAUGCCGCGUGUAUGAAGAAGGCCUUCGGGUUGUAAAGUACUUUCAGCGGGGAGGAAGGGAGUAAAGUUAAUACCUUUGCUCAUUGACGUUACCCGCAGAAGAAGCACCGGCUAACUCCGUG